UAGGGAAUCUUCGGCAAUGGACGAAAGUCUGACCGAGCAACGCCGCGUGUGUGAAGAAGGUUUCCGGAUCGUAAAACUCUGUUUUUAGAGAAGAACAAGGACGUUAGUAACUGAACGUCCCCUGACGGUAUCUAACCAGAAAGCCACGGCUAACUACGUGCCAGCAGCCGCGGUAAUACGUAGGUGGCAAGCGUUGUCCGGAUUUAUUGGGCGUAAAGCGAGCGCAGGCGGUUUCUUAAGUCUGAUGUGAAAGCCCCCGGCUCAACCGGGGAGGGGCAUUGGAAACUGGGAGGAUAGAGUGCAGAAGAGGAGAGUGGAAUUCCAUGUGUAGCGGUGAAAUGCGUAGAUAUAUGGAGGAACACCAGUGGCGAGGGCGGCGCUCUGGUCUGUAACUGACGCUGAGGCUCAAAAGCGUGGGGAGCAAACAGG
RNAcentral lists this ribosomal RNA (429 nucleotides) under Gemmatimonadota bacterium. RNAcentral's name for it is "Gemmatimonadetes bacterium partial 16S ribosomal RNA". It matches the Rfam family "Bacterial small subunit ribosomal RNA", at positions 355 to 776 of the family's 1533-position model. Lineage: Bacteria; Pseudomonadati; Gemmatimonadota. The record is from RNAcentral.